RNAcentral lists this ribosomal RNA (253 nucleotides) under uncultured bacterium. Its description in RNAcentral is "partial 16S ribosomal RNA". It matches the Rfam family "Bacterial small subunit ribosomal RNA", at positions 524 to 776 of the family's 1533-position model. The record is from RNAcentral.
UACAGGGGGGGCAAGCGUUGUUCGGAAUUACUGGGCGUAAAGGGCUCGUAGGCGGCCAACUAAGUCACACGUGAAAUCCCCAGGCUUAACCUGGGAACUGCGUGUGAUACUGGAUGGCUUGAAUUCGGGAGAGGGAUGCAGAAUUCCAGGUGUAGCGGUGAAAUGCGUAGAUAUCUGGAGGAAUACCGGUGGCGAAGGCGGCAUCCUGGACCGACAUUGACGCUGAGGAGUGAAAGCUAGGGGAGCAAACGGG